Molecule: ribosomal RNA, 491 nt
Filed under: uncultured Alcaligenes sp.
Lineage: Bacteria; Pseudomonadati; Pseudomonadota; Betaproteobacteria; Burkholderiales; Alcaligenaceae
Description: bacterial SSU rRNA
Rfam family: Bacterial small subunit ribosomal RNA
Source: RNAcentral
AGAGUUUGAUCCUGGCUCAGAUUGAACGCUAGCGGGAUGCUUUACACAUGCAAGUCGAACGGCAGCGCGAGAGAGCUUGCUCUCUUGGCGGCGAGUGGCGGACGGGUGAGUAAUAUAUCGGAACGUGCCCAGUAGCGGGGGAUAACUACUCGAAAGAGUGGCUAAUACCGCAUACGCCCUACGGGGGAAAGGGGGGGAUCGCAAGACCUCUCACUAUUGGAGCGGCCGAUAUCGGAUUAGCUAGUUGGUGGGGUAAAGGCUCACCAAGGCAACGAUCCGUAGCUGGUUUGAGAGGACGACCAGCCACACUGGGACUGAGACACGGCCCAGACUCCUACGGGAGGCAGCAGUGGGGAAUUUUGGACAAUGGGGGAAACCCUGAUCCAGCCAUCCCGCGUGUAUGAUGAAGGCCUUCGGGUUGUAAAGUACUUUUGGCAGAGAAGAAAAGGUAUCCCCUAAUACGGGAUACUGCUGACGGUAUCUGCAGAAUA